UCGUGCCGUGAGGCGUCUGGUUAACUCCGAUAACGAACGAGACCUUGGCUUAUUAAAUAGUGACAUGAACUUUGGUUUGUGAUCAGCUUCUUAGAGGGACUAUUGACUUAAAGUCAAUGGAAGGUUUAGGCAAUAACA
RNAcentral lists this ribosomal RNA (138 nucleotides) under uncultured eukaryote. RNAcentral's name for it is "partial 18S ribosomal RNA". It matches the Rfam family "Eukaryotic small subunit ribosomal RNA", at positions 1299 to 1458 of the family's 1831-position model. The record is from RNAcentral.